This 484-nucleotide ribosomal RNA is filed under the name uncultured bacterium. Its description in RNAcentral is "partial 16S ribosomal RNA". It matches the Rfam family "Bacterial small subunit ribosomal RNA", at positions 28 to 523 of the family's 1533-position model. The record is from RNAcentral.
GACGGACGCUGGCGGCGUGCUUAACGCAUGCAAGUCGAACGAUGAACCCGGAGCUUGCUCCGGCGGAUUAGUGGCGAACGGGUGAGUAACACGUGAGUAACCUGCCCUUGAUUCUGGGAUAACUGCGGGAAACUGUAGCUAAUACCGGAUACGACCCUCGGCGGCAUCGCCAGGGGGUGGGAAGCAUUUCGGUCAAGGAUGGACUCGCGGCCUAUCAGCUAGUUGGUGAGGUAACGGCGCACCAAGGCGACGACGGGUAGCCGGCCUGAGAGGGUGACCGGCCACCCUGGGACUGAGACACGGCCCAGACUCCUACGGGAGGCAGCCGUGGGGAAUAUUGCACAAUGGGCGCAAGCCUGAUGCAGCAACGCCGCGUGAGGGAUGACGGCCUUCGGGUUGUAAACCUCUUUUAGUAGGGAAGAAGCGAAAGUGACGGUACCUGCAGAAAAAGCACCGGCUAACUACGUGCCAGCCGCCGCGGUAA